UUCCUUGCCUUAUUUCUUCGUUCUUCUUCCUUUCAUUAUUUAAUUUCUUCCUAUCCAAGUCUUACGGUCAUUGCUUCCCAUGCUGCUGUCGGGCCACUUCAGGAACAAUGCGUCGUGGCGAGGCGGGCAAAGGGCUUUGAGAAGACCCCUCAUAGUCCUCCCUAUUUUCUAUUGAUAUGAGUGAGAUAACAAGCGUGCGGCUGAUUUGGAUAAUUGCACAAGCAUGCGACAGGUGUCAAAGAUAAGGGCAAGAACUAUUAAUGUAGGCACUGGUGCAGGACUUUCGCUACUAUAAUACUAUUUAUCUGGAAAAGAAGAAGAUAGAGUAUAGCUAGAGCUACGAGUCUAUACUACUGCUAAGGAUAAUCUAGAGCUACACUAGGUAACUAAGAGCAAGAAAUUUAAAGGAUAAAAGGAAUGAUAAAUUAAGGAUAGAGAUAAAGAUAACAAUUGGUUGUUCGAUUAGCAGAAGUAUCCUUUUUCGGUAUUGCAAUUUGAUAUUUAUAAGUAGAUCACUACCUAACUUUUGAUACUUGUUCUCAUUGGUUCGUGCCACAUGGUCCACUAUUAUCAUACAUAGUUGAUUCUUCUCUCUGCUAUGAGUAUGAUUUUCUUGAUCUAAAUCGAGCAGGAGGAUGGAUAAGGGAGAAGAUGGAUAGGUCUUCCAUCC
RNAcentral lists this long non-coding RNA (670 nucleotides) under Phoenix dactylifera (date palm). RNAcentral's name for it is "long non-coding RNA (PDAC_LNC001168)". The record is from RNAcentral. Lineage: Eukaryota; Viridiplantae; Streptophyta; Magnoliopsida; Arecales; Arecaceae.